This 724-nucleotide ribosomal RNA is filed under the name uncultured bacterium. RNAcentral's name for it is "bacterial SSU rRNA". It matches the Rfam family "Bacterial small subunit ribosomal RNA", at positions 9 to 744 of the family's 1533-position model. The record is from RNAcentral.
GAGUUUGAUCCUGGCUCAGGAUGAACGCUGGCGGCGUGCGUAACACAUGCAAGUCGAACGAAGCAGAAGGAUGCUUGCAUCUUUUUGACUGAGUGGCGGACGGGUGAGUAACGUGUGGAGAACCUACCUUACACAGGGGGAUAACGGCUGGAAACGGCUGCUAAUACCGCAUAAGCAUACAGCUUCGCAUGAAGCCGUGUGAAAAGAAAAAUCGGUGUAAGAUGGCUCCGCAUCUGAUUAGCUAGUUGGUGAGGUAAUGGCUCACCAAGGCGACGAUCAGUAGCCGGCCUGAGAGGGCGACCGGCCACAUUGGGACUGAGACACGGCCCAGACUCCUACGGGAGGCAGCAGUGGGGAAUCUUGCACAAUGGGGGAAACCCUGAUGCAGCAACGCCGCGUGAGCGAAGAAGUAUUUCGGUAUGUAAAGCUCUAUCAGCAGGGAAUAGAAAAGAAGGUACCUGACUAAGAAGCCCCGGCUAACUACGUGCCAGCAGCCGCGGUAAUACGUAGGGGGCAAGCGUUAUCCGGAUUUACUGGGUGUAAAGGGAGCGUAGACGGCUGUUUAAGUCAGAAGUGAAAGCCCAUUGCUUAACGAUGGGACUGCUUUUGAAACUAAGGAGCUAGAGUGCAGGAGAGGUAAGCGGAAUUCCUAGUGUAGCGGUGAAAUGCGUAGAGAUUAGGAGGAACACCAGUGGCGAAGGCGGCUUACUGGACUGUAACUGAC